GGAUCUUUAAAAUGUUCUUAUGUCUAGAGAGAGACAACAUGGAUAUCUGAUAGCUUUGUUAAAUUUCUUAGCAAAAUAAAUCUUAUUUAAAUGUUUUAUCUUUAAAAUAUUUAUAUUGAAACAAUUUCAGACUAAUGUGGAACUCAUGGUACAGAAUCUAGAAAUUGCAUAUCCAUAGGCAUUAAAAAGAACUCAAGCCUGGCCCCGAGGAUAGGAAUGAGUAGGGUACUUGAAAAUAAGCAGAGGUUUCUUCAGGCAGCUAUGCAAGUAUUCAAAAUAGUGGUGAGGGUUUUACUGUCUUUGCAAAAUUGCUAAAAAGCCAUCAGUAGUAGGCUUAUAAUGAAUAAAUUUUCUUAUGUGUCUUUAUUACUUCAGUACAGCAUGUGUAAAAAACCUGAGUUUGACUCACAGCAUUGAGGGAGAAAAAGGAUUUACAAACAUGACUCAGAGAAUCCCUGUGUAAAAUUCCCUCUUAUCCCCACCACACACACCUUUGUUCUCAUUGAUAUUCUUCAGUAUUUUACAUGGUUUUUCAAGCUGUGACUUCCGACAGUGAUGAACAUUUCUGUUUGUUCCUUCUGAUUUUUAUUUCUUUGUUUUUACAUUUUUAUAUGUAUUUGUUCCAAUAUAUAUUUUAUCUUGAGCGCAUAUCCCCCACGACUCACCCCUUCUCUCUUCUCUUCUCUCCCCUCCUCCUGCCAAUCUCUUUAGUCUCCACUGAAUCAUUUAAGCCUGCACUAAUUGCACAGAACAGUGGGCUUCAUUGUGAUAUUUUCAUACAUGAAUAUUUCCUUCUUCUCCCAAGAUGAUAUCAUAUGCAAAUUAACUUUAAUGCAAUGAUCAAGGCUGAAACUUGACUUUCUACAAACCUUGGUGCUACAGUAUUCGGAUUUCACUGAAUUGUCCAUGUACAUUCUUCCUCAUCUCCAAAUUUCCAUUGUUUUUUAUUUAUUUGGUUGGUUGGUUGGUUGGUUGGUUGGUUGGUUGGUUGGUGUGUGCAUGAGAUGCAGUAUAUAGUUUAAUGAGCUUUAUUACCCAAAUAGAACCAAAGAGCCACCACCACAACCAGAAUCGUUUUUCUGUCACUACCAACUCCAAAAUAAACUUCCCUUGCCCCUCUGCUAUCUCAGCAACCAUGACUCUGGCAGCCAACAACCUGUUCUCCAUCAUCAUGGCUUGGUCAUUUGUUAAUUACAUAGAGAGUGAAGUGCAAUCACUAUGUAAUAAGUUGAGAUAGACUCUCCACCCCCAACUCCAGGGUAAUGUUCUUCUCUCAAGAGCCAUUCAAGUUAUUGUUUAUCAGUUGUUUAUGAUUUUUUAUUACCAUGAACUAGAUGGAAAUAAGUGUCUAGAUGUCCAACAAUGUCUCUACUAUGUAUGGAGGUUUUUGGUUUGGUUUGUAUUUGGAGCUUUGAGCACUUACUUACACUGAUUUUUUUAAAAAUAUAUGCUAAGUUUCAAUUUCUUUAGCAUAGACACUAAAGAUCAGGACUGCUCAGUGGUAAGAUGUUUGGCUUAGGAUGACCAGCAGUCUCAACUAACCCAGACCCCUCAGAUCUCUGACACUGAGCCACCAGCCAGGCAACAUACAUGAGCCUGUCUGAGGCCCCCUGACACAUAUACAGCAGGGGACUGCCUGGUCUGGCCUCAGUGGAAAAAGACAUGUGUAAUCUUCCAGAGACUUGAGUCCCCAGGGACUGGGGAGGCCUGGCAGAUGGAGCAGGGAUAGAUAUCCUCUUGGAGGCUGAGGGGAGGAAGAAUGGGAUGAGGAACUGAGGGAAGGCAGACCAGGAAGGGCGGGGGCAAUGGCUAGAUUG
RNAcentral lists this long non-coding RNA (1817 nucleotides) under Mus musculus (house mouse). RNAcentral's name for it is "long non-coding RNA chr9:104762244-104764061". The record is from RNAcentral. Lineage: Eukaryota; Metazoa; Chordata; Mammalia; Rodentia; Muridae.